Molecule: ribosomal RNA, 511 nt
Filed under: uncultured bacterium
Lineage: Bacteria
Description: bacterial SSU rRNA
Rfam family: Bacterial small subunit ribosomal RNA
Source: RNAcentral
CCUGGCUUAGGAUGAACGCUAGCGACAGGCUUAACACAUGCAAGUCGAGGGGUAACAGGGUAGCAAUACCGCUGACGACCGGCGCACGGGUGAGUAACGCGUAUGCAACCUGCCUAUAACUGGGGAAUAGCUCCCUGAAAGGGGGAAUUAACACCGCAUAACACUAUUGAUUCGCAUGGAUUGGUAGUUAAAUGUAGCGAUACAGGUUAUAGAUGGGCAUGCGUGACAUUAGCUAGUUGGUGAGGUAACGGCUCACCAAGGCUACGAUGUCUAGGGGUUCUGAGAGGAAGGUCCCCCCACACUGGUACUGAGACACGGACCAGACUCCUACGGGAGGCAGCAGUGAGGAAUAUUGGUCAAUGGGCGCAAGCCUGAACCAGCCAUGUCGCGUGCAGGAAGAACCUGCCCUAUGGGUUGUAAACUGCUUUUAUAGUAGAAGAAACACAUCUACGCGUAGAUGUCUGCCAGUAUACUAUGAAUAAGCAUCGGCUAACUCCGUGCCAGCCGCCGC